RNAcentral lists this ribosomal RNA (461 nucleotides) under Anaplasma phagocytophilum. RNAcentral describes it as "bacterial SSU rRNA". It matches the Rfam family "Bacterial small subunit ribosomal RNA", at positions 81 to 577 of the family's 1533-position model. Lineage: Bacteria; Pseudomonadati; Pseudomonadota; Alphaproteobacteria; Rickettsiales; Anaplasmataceae. The record is from RNAcentral.
AUGAAGAAUAAUUAGUGGCAGACGGGUGAGUAAUGCAUAGGAAUCUACCUAGUAGUAUGGGAUAGCCACUAGAAAUGGUGGGUAAUACUGUAUAAUCCCUGCGGGGGAAAGAUUUAUCGCUAUUAGAUGAGCCUAUGUUAGAUUAGCUAGUUGGUAGGGUAAAGGCCUACCAAGGCGAUGAUCUAUAGCUGGUCUGAGAGGAUGAUCAGCCACACUGGAACUGAGAUACGGUCCAGACUCCUACGGGAGGCAGCAGUGGGGAAUAUUGGACAAUGGGCGCAAGCCUGAUCCAGCUAUGCCGCGUGAGUGAGGAAGGCCUUAGGGUUGUAAAACUCUUUCAGUAGGGAAGAUAAUGACGGUACCUACAGAAGAAGUCCCGGCAAACUCCGUGCCAGCAGCCGCGGUAAUACGGAGGGGGCAAGCGUUGUUCGGAAUUAUUGGGCGUAAAGGGCAUGUAGGCG